CAGCCGCCGCGGUAAUACGUAGGUGGCAAGCGUUGUCCGGAAUUAUUGGGCGUAAAGGGCUCGCAGGCGGUUUCUUAAGUCUGGUGUGAAAGCCCCCGGCUCAACCGGGGAGGGUCAUUGGAAACUGGGAAACUUGAGUGCAGAAGAGGAGAGUGGAAUUCCACGUGUAGCGGUGAAAUGCGUAGAGAUGUGGAGGAACACCAGUGGCGAAGGCGACUCUCUGGUCUGUAACUGACGCUGAGGAGCGAAAGCGUGGGGAGCGAACAGGAUUAGAUACCCCUGUAGUCCCUGUCUCUUAUAC
This 301-nucleotide ribosomal RNA is filed under the name uncultured bacterium. RNAcentral's name for it is "partial 16S ribosomal RNA". It matches the Rfam family "Bacterial small subunit ribosomal RNA", at positions 509 to 807 of the family's 1533-position model. The record is from RNAcentral.